UGGGGAAUAUUGCACAAUGGGCGCAAGCCUGAUGCAGCCAUGCCGCGUGUAUGAAGAAGGCCUUUGGGUUGUAAAGUACUUUCAGCGGGGAGGAAGGUGUUGAGGUUAAUAACCUCAGCAAUUGACGUUACCCGCAGAAGAAGCACCGGCUAACUCCGUGCCAGCAGCCGCGGUAAUACGGAGGGUGCAAGCGUUAAUCGGAAUUACUGGGCGUAAAGCGCACGCAGGCGGUCUGUCAAGUCGGAUGUGAAAUCCCCGGGCUCAACCUGGGAACUGCAUUCGAAACUGGCAGGCUAGAGUCUUGUAGAGGGGGGUAGAAUUCCAGGUGUAGCGGUGAAAUGCGUAGAGAUCUGGAGGAAUACCGGUGGCGAAGGCGGCCCCCUGGACAAAGACUGACGCUCAGGUGCGAAAGCGUGGGGAGCAAACA
RNAcentral lists this ribosomal RNA (427 nucleotides) under uncultured bacterium. RNAcentral describes it as "partial 16S ribosomal RNA". It matches the Rfam family "Bacterial small subunit ribosomal RNA", at positions 355 to 774 of the family's 1533-position model. The record is from RNAcentral.